Molecule: non-coding RNA, 1194 nt
Organism: Anas platyrhynchos (mallard)
Lineage: Eukaryota; Metazoa; Chordata; Aves; Anseriformes; Anatidae
Source: RefSeq, a predicted model, not a curated record
CCAUCACACAACCAAACCCAGCUGAUACAGUAGUGGAAGGCGAUGGCUUCCUGGCCCUCCCACUGGGUCCUCCCACAAGCAACUGGUUAAUGCAGUGAGGUGAUCCACAGCUGCCAGUCUCUUUAUUUUCUGCUGCAUGAGCUUGUCACUGCUGAUUAGAAGAGAAGCAAAGCAGAGGUUUGCAGGUCUGUGUUGCAUCUGUCAGCACACUGCAAGCCCACAAGAAACAGAGAAAUGGAACUAGGCACAAAGGCCAUUUCCAAUUUCUUUAAGCCCCUAACCUGGGUGGAAUUCAGAGAACUACUAUCUGAAGCCUAAGUUCCCAAUGGCGAGGGACAAGUCCCUCCGACAGAUGUUUCACAGCACUGGCUUCGUUUUGUGCAAGUUUUCCUCGUGUAGGACUGAGCCUUCAGUGGGGCUCCCACAUGGUCUGGCUGGUGGCUUUGCCCCUUUGCUGGAAAGGAAAAGGCAGCUUCAUUCAGCCAAAAUCCCAUGACACUGGAAAUGGAUGAGAAAUCUCAGGCAAAACAAUCGUGAGGGAACUGCAAGGCCCGCUGAAUCUUUGCAAAUCUGACUGCUUAUUUGGAUAACAAGGCAUCUCCUCUGAGAAGAGCUUCACAGAGAAAAUUGUAAAGUACCUUCGGCAGAAGUCAUGAACCUGAUGAUGGAAUAAGUAACAAGAUACUGAAUCUGAAUGAACUACAUUUUGCUUUGAAACAUGCUGGUCUAAGGCACAAAGCCCUGGUAGCGUUUGGUCCUGAAGCCUCCGUUUAGCUGAGGUCUUCCGUACUCCCACCUGAGGCUCAGGCAGAGAAGGCAAUGAGCUGCCUGCAGCAGAGGGCAGCAGCAGGCCUCUGCACUCCUACCACAGACCGGCCUUCCUUGUUAGCCCUGUUGGCAGCUCAUGGUGAGAAACAUGCAGUAUGUGUUCCCGUAAAUCACCAUGUAUUCCUGUAAGUCACUAUGUAUUCCUGUAAAUCAGUAUGUAUUCCUGUAAGGGAAUGCUAAAUGUAAAGCAGCUCAGUAAGUGAUGGCCCUGUUACUGAAUAAAGUAUUUGAUGUGCUGGCAGCUCUUGUUAGAAAUACCUGAAGCCGCAGGCUGGUGCGUUUGAGCCAUAUUGUGUGAGAGGUGGCCCAAGUAUAUGGUGAGGAGAGUGUUUCUAGCCAGGAAACUCUUAAGACAUUAACUUGAUA